CCUGAGCGAGGCGAGGGCGGGGCGAGGACGCGAGAAGCGGGGGGAGAAUGGCGCUGUUAAACCGCCGAUCUCUGGAAUGGCUCUACUCGCUGAUUCUUCUUGCUAUUGUAUUGCUUUCAUGGGGCUAUGUCAUUUACGCAACACGAAUAGCAGCCAAAUGGCAAUUGGAGGAGUCGUAUCCCAUACAAGGCCAGAAUACUUGAGACAUCUCCAGAGUGGAAUACCACAGAAAUACAGAGACAUUCUAGAACUCCAUAAAUCAUAAUCUGCAAAAACAUGAAUUCCAAACAAGAGUGGUUGACUCAGGAGUAAUACUGAAGCUUCAGAAAUACAGAUAAAGAUAACAAAACAGCUGUGAACAUCUGGUACAGUACUAUUAACAUAAUUGAAAAAAUAUCCUUGAAUGUCAUUUUUUAAAGAGAAUUUUACAUUUUCUCCACUUUACUGCUUAUUUUAAUGUGAUUCAGAAGACUACGGCUACAAGGAUAACUGCAAGCCCAAAGAGUCAUUAUUAUGGAAAAAUAACUAGAUACUUUGUGCAAGAAACUGGUUUUCAAGUUAAAAGUUACACUCCUACACUGCUUUCAAUGGUACAGAAAUAAAUACCUGGAUAUCUGUGGAAGGUUUAGCAAAAAUGUACGUAGUAUCCAGUGAAAAUUUGAAGUUAAAAGAUUGUUCAAGCUGUUUAAUGCUAUUCUGAAGACAAAUCCUCAUCAUACUGACCUGCGAAUGUUGUAAAUGAGAAGAUUGGUUGCACUUUUUCAUUGCUAUCAUAACUGAACGCUUGCUGCACAAGGCAGAUGCCAAAUGAGAACCACCUGAUGAGAACCACCUGUAGAUCUACCAGUAGAUUUAGGAAGUGGUAUAUGCUCUUGCUAGCUCCUGUGACAUUCUAUCAUUGCAGAUUAAUGAUACCACUAGCAAAGUAAUGCUAUUCACUAACAAGCACAAGAGGGUAAAUUAUUGCAUGAUCAGAGUUUACUGUAAGUAACCUGACCCAGAAUACGUCAGACAGUGAUUAUUUGAUAAGGAAACUGAGGCCGGUUUCAUUCUACUGAUAUUUUAGAAAACCAGGUAUUCAGUCAUAAGGCUGCCGGAGACCUUAAUUUAAUUUUAAUGCCUCUAGCAUUAAAAAAAAUGAAUCGCAAUUCAUGACUUAGUAGGAAUAGUCACAUGAAGUUUUUAGUUGUGGGACCUACAUAGAACAGUACUAAUUUAAUAAAGGCCAACCAUGCCCUUGUGAUGUCAGUUCUUUUAUCUGGAUAAAUGGUAAUGUAUCACAUCUUCACCCAAUGAGAUAUAUUAGCCUAUUGAUAAUUUAUGCAUAUAUUACUUUUAACAAAUCAUUUCUGGCUUUAGCUUUUAAACUGAAAUAAGCAUAUAACAAAAACUAAACCAAAUCUGAUUAGGGUAAGUUUUCUUACAAUCUUUGGGGAAGGUUAUAUAUGGGAUUGAUCUACACCAGAGCCAAGGUUGCCUACCCCUGAUCUACAGUCACUAAUUAAUAGGCUAUAUCAACAGAGCAAAGCCCACACCUUUCUAUUAUGGAAGACGUUACCUAGUCUGAUAAUGAAACAAACUUAGAAAACACCAAGGACUCAAAGGUCACAUUUUAAUUUAUUUAUUUCAUAAAACGAGUUAUUCCUUAGGCCUUACAGCAAAGUUAAAAACAACAGUUAACAAAAACAAAUACUAAAAACAUUAAAAACAAUACAAACUAAGGCCUUUUCAUCCAGCUAUGUAAGAUAAACAAUAUGCACAAGGACACCUACCUAUUGGUUAAAAUACAAAGCAAAAAAUUGUAACUCAGAGGAAAGAUGAAAGACUUUAGUAAUACUUAACAUAAACACAAGUAAUCCUUGAAAGAUGAACAUACUGGAGCCUGCCCAUUAGGAUCAUGUCAAAAAUGUCGUAAAAUGAAUUGGGCUCAAUUUUAUGACAAUUUAAUUUACUAAAAUUGUUAUUCUUUAUGCCUUACAGCAAAGUUCAAAGCAAUAGUAAACAAGUAAUUAUUAAAAACAUUCUUCCUAACUUCUUUCACCGCUUCAGGUGUCGAGGGAGAUACAGCGUUCUGGUUCUUACUCUUUUGGUGGCCUCAACUAUUGUUAAUUAAAAACAUUAAAAACUUAAGGCCUUUUCAUUGAGCCUACAUAAAGUAAACAAUAUGUAUAAGGACAUCUAAAUAUUAAACUACAAAGCAAAAGCUUUUAACAAAGAGAACUAACUUUUCUAGGAAUACUUAACAAGGACUAUAUAUUAAUUUAAAAUGUUUCUCUUAAUUUAUUGUCUUUUUCCACUCCUCUCAUUUUCUCACUGGAGAGACAUUCAUUAUUCUUAUGAUUGGCAGCACCAUCUCUGCACCUGGCAGAGGAUGGUGAUGCAGAUCUACUAGCAUCAGUUAUCACUAAAGCUAUGCAAUUGGAUAGGUUGCACUUGAAUCUUCUUCCCAGUGCUAUUCCCACUAUAUUCCCACUUAUCGGCAAAACCAUCUCCAUUUGACUCGAUCCAGGGCACCUUCGGGGGCAACGCCCACGUAUUUCAUGUCCGUCUUGAUGCAAUCCAUCCACCUUUUCUUGGGUCUGCCACAAGGUUACUGGCCAUCAGGAUCCAGAGGCAUGGCGGUCUUCCCUACGCGAGUCUUUUUUACCAUGUACAAUAUGCCCGUACCAUCUAAGUCUUCCUUCCCACAUUUUUGCUACGAGAUGGAAGACUUAGAGCAGGGAUGUCAAACUUGCCACAUCACAUACUUUUUUCCCCUUGCCGGAGCUGAGGUGAGUGCAGUUUCCGUGUGAUGCAUCCGGCCCUUGGGCCGGCAGUUUGACACCCCUGACUUAGAGGGUAUAGACACAUUAUAUGUGGUGAGGAAGACCUGCUGGUGAGGACAGCUAUGUGUGCAGCCAUAGGCUGCACUUUAUUCAUGUCUUUAUCAUCAGCUGAAAUCUCAGAGUCUAAGGACAGCGGAACAAGUUCAGGAGUUCUCUCAGCUAAUGGUUUUACAUAGUCAACAACACAAUUGUCAAAAAAUUGUGACAGUCAUCAUUCACUUCUAUGUUUGCUGGUAAUGACAUCUGCAACCCAAUUAUGUUUGCAGAACGUUCUUCAUCAGAAUUUUCAGAAGUAUCUAAAGCAGUAGAUGCAGAAGCACGAAUCUGCUCUAAAUUGGAAUAAGAUGGGCCAGGCGUUUUCAUCCUCCUAGGGUGCCUGGCCUGUAUCACUUCUGAAAGCAUUACGUUCUGGUACUUGGGGUUUCAGUCUCAUUGGGAGAGAUUGUGAUAUUCGAAGAUUCAGAGUUGCUUCCUUGCUCACGAGAUGGAGCCGGAUAGUCAUAAUUUGCAUGCCUGUCAUCUAGAUCUAUGUUAAAGGAUAUCUAGCAAAGUUGAUAAAUUCAUGUAAAAAGCCUUCCUUACUUUGGAAUAAGAAAGGUUGUAAAUUCAUUACCACAUGCCUGGCUUUCUAGAUCAAACGUAAUCAAAUUAUUAUAUAUAAUAUUGCACAAUAUGAAUUGGAGAAUCAUGAAUUCCAAACAGGACUGUAAGCUCACGUUUAAACCAGGGAGGCAGCCUCUGAAGGCAGCCAGGAUUCCUAUGGAAAAAAUUAGCCGAUAUGUCCCUAUAACCCCCACUACUGGCAUUCCCAUCUAUGGACCCAAUGGAGGAUGGUGAUGCAGAUCUAGAUACAGAUUUCUUUCUUUUUAUCACACCUUGUUAUACGAGCGACUAUCCCUUCGUAAAUAAUUUCAAUGCCUGGGCUUCUUGACCGUUUUUUCUUCUUUUCUUGUUGAGUUUCAGCUUGAGCUUGCUUGUCUGCAAUGUUAGCUGCCUUUCUGCAAAUGGCCUGGUGCUUUGGUAAAGAUUUCUUCAGAAGCUUUAGACUUUCUCUUGUAGACGAACUUUUUCUCUCUACCUCUCUGGUACAAUACUCAAACCUUAAUGGAUUUUUAUCCCAAUCAUCUUAGAUGAUGCACUUUUUCAAUGUCAUCAAAUUUUGCUAAACAACCUUACUAAAUCUAAAUUAAAAUUACAUUUUCUCCAAGCUUAGUAAUAACAGUAACCCCUAACCUGCCUAUUUAUUAGUUCUGGGUAUAUUUAUGAAGCUUUAGUGUGAAUAGCCUCAGGGUUCAAAAUGAUUUACCUGAAUGAAGAAAGUUUAAUUUCUUUGGCUGCUAUGUUCACUGUAACUCUUUAUUCCAUUUUGUUUUAUUUAUCUUUUAAUGUUGUUUCUAAAUUGUAUGUUUUCUAAGGCCUAUCAAUAACCAAAAUAAAAUACUUUGUUGUUGGA
Long non-coding RNA from Crotalus tigris (Tiger rattlesnake), 4278 nucleotides. RefSeq lists it as uncharacterized. NCBI's taxonomy places the organism in Eukaryota, Metazoa, Chordata, Lepidosauria, Squamata, Viperidae. The transcript has 3 exons. The record is from RefSeq and is a predicted model, not a curated record.